UGGUGGAGUGAUUUGUCUGGUUAAUUCCGAUAACGAACGAGACCUUAACCUGCUAAAUAGCCCGGCCGGCUUUUGCUGGUCGCUGGCUUCUUAGAGGGACUGUCUGCGUCUAGCAGACGGAAGUUUGAGGCAAUAACA
This 138-nucleotide ribosomal RNA is filed under the name uncultured eukaryote. RNAcentral's name for it is "partial 18S ribosomal RNA". It matches the Rfam family "Eukaryotic small subunit ribosomal RNA", at positions 1299 to 1458 of the family's 1831-position model. The record is from RNAcentral.